CAGGUGCCAAUAUAUUCAACUCAAAUUCAAUGUACAUCAUGAUUACAGAAACUGCUUGGAAGAAAGAGAAAAGGAGACUGCAGAAUCUGAGAAAGAAGAGCUGAAUAGAAGUUGGAGAAGAUAGCAAGGGAGCAGAAUCCCUACUGAUGAACCACAUGACUAAACAGGACAAGGCGGCCUAAAGAAGAAGAUGACAUGAACUGCCCUUCUCCUACGCAAAGAGCAUAGAUACACCAUGGAAACAACACAAAGAGCAGCUGGACCAAAAGCUUCAGAGAGAAAAUUGGGCUCCAAUAGCUUGCAUCAAGUUCUGAAGAAGAUAGAGAACGCAGAACAUAGAGAUAGUCCAGCCAAGCUCCAAAAUCGUUGGCUUAGCUUGCAGAUUUACCAACAGGUCUCCUUGCACCUGAAGAAGCCCAUUCCUGCAACUGAAAUACUACAAGAAUAAAUGAAGCCGAGUAUCUUGAACAGAGAAGAAAUGGACAACCAAGAAGCAAAGAGCUAGUAACAGUGCACUGUGUGAAUCUUAAUACUCCCUCCAUUUUUAUAUAUAAGGCCACUAUCAAAAUUAUAAUUUGCAUAUAUACAAGGCCACUACACUAAUCGAUGCAAUAUUAAUGGUGUUUGCCUCGUAGUACUAGUAAAGGGGGACAUUAAUUAUUCCUUGCAUGCAUGCAAGAGCGAGAUUGUUAGCUUGAUGUGCACGAGAGAGAAAAAUACACAUUAAUUUACACGGCAAACAAGAAGACAAGAUGUCUUACAACAAAUUGACUUAAAAUGCAUUAACUUUUGCCUUGGUACCUGUAAUAUGGGUUUGUGUCCUUGUAUACAAAAAUGGAGGGAGUACCAGGUAUUUGAAAAUUAGAAAGAAGGGAUACAAUAUUGCAAGAAUUAGAAGAGUGAUUACGAGCAAAGCAACAAAUCCAAGUAUCCCUAUUAGCUUUGUAAACCUGGUAAGCAAGGUUAUGGGCAACUCCAUUAACUUCUCUAGAAAUAUGAAACACUUUAGGAUUAAGAGCUGCAGAAUGUUUGAAGAAAUCGGAAAGAUCCUUUCUGAUAUUCCAAGGAAUGGAGGGAUCCAAGGUGUUGGCCCAAGCAGCACAUUUAGCAAGAGUAAGAGAGUCAGUUAGAAAAGUAGAAUGCAAAAUAUUGAGCUGAGAGGCUAUAUUAGCAGCAAAAGCAAGAGCACUAGAUUCAGCCUGCAAAGGAGUGGAUGCAGAGGAAGCGGAGGCCUGGAUUUGAAUAUUAAUUUCUCCCUGCUCCGAGGGAAGAGAAAUAUAGAUACCAACACGUGUAGCCACAUCUCCUCGAGGAAGGCCAGGAACUUUUUUUCUUCUGAAAGCUGCAUCAGAGUAAUUUUUUGGCCCAACAACUAAAAGAUCAGACCUGAGAGAAUUACCUGGCAAAAGGAGCUAACUGCUAGUAGGAAUGUGUUGAACCUGUUGAUUCUUGGUAGAAAGACCAGAAAGAACAUCUUGAGGCUCCAAAUUCAAAGCACCAGCCAUAAUGCUAGCUUGAUAAGGAAGAGCUUUGUUUCUAUCAAAAAGAAAAUCAUUUCUUGCUUUCCUAAGACACCACAGAAAAUUUAGGAUAUGCGGGAUGGAACCGUGUGGGUGAUUCAUUUGAAUGAAAGCAAUAAGCACCGAAUGCAUUGUAGAAUGGCCUUGGGUUAAAACAUCAGCUUUGAGAAACCAGGGAGAAGAAAACCAGGCCGCAUGAGAAAAAUUACAAAGGACAAAUAGAUGAAACUCAUCCUCCAGUUGACCACAUCGACAACACAUUUGAGAAAUAUGAAUCGAGAAACGACCAGCUCGCAUACCCGUAGGCAAAGCUUUUCUUAAAAGUCUCCAUGCAAAAGUUUGCACCCUAGGAAGCAUAUUCUUCUGUUUCCAAAAUAAUUUAAGAAGAUUUUUCAAAUCCAAAGAAACAACACUAGGGGCAUGUCUAGGAUUAGCAUGGAUAUCUUGUAAACACAAUUUACAAGCAGAUUUGGAGGAACAAAUACCAUUUGGAGUAAGAUCCCAACACAACAAAUCUGGAAUUUCAUCAUCAACAAUAUGAGUAUGAAUAAUAAUGGAAGCCAAAGGUUGCUGAAAAAGCGAGAAGAUGAGAGCUUGAUUCCAAAUCCUUUGUCCUGGAACCAAGGCAGGGUACACAAAACCAGCGUGUUGAGGAAUGAGAUGCUCAUAAAUGGAACUCCAAUUACUACACCAAGGAGUGCUCCAAAUAGAAAUAUUACCUUGCGUUAUUUGAUAGAAAGAAUGAGUCUUAAGCUUAGGCAACAUUUUAAGAAUGGAAGCCCGGAAAGCAGAUUUAGGAGGAGUAGUAGUGGCAGUCCAAAUGGAAGCAUUGGGAAAAUAUUUAGCUUUAAGCACGAGAUACAAAUGAGAAGAAGGGGAUUUAGCUAACCUCCAAGCAGCACAUAAAAUCAGACUUUCAUUGAUGGCCUUCAAGUUCCUAACACCUAGACCUCCUUCGUCUUUGGAGUUGUAAAUGUCUUUCCAUGCUCUAAGACAAAGACUCUUUGUAGAGUCAUUUUCUCGAACACUUGUACACCAAAAAUUCCUAAUAAUAGCCGUAUGCUUAGCAAUGAAUUUCUUAGUGAACAAGAUAUUAGCCAUAUAGUAGUCGGGAAUGGCCGAGAAAACCGAACGAAUUAUAAGAAGGCAAUUUUUGCAAGAAUUUGUCUAGAACAAAGUUAUAAGCAAGAACUUUGUUUUUAGCCGGAAGAAUCGAUGGGUGACCAAGAUGAGUAAAAUUUGCAUCCAAAGAAGAAACUGGGAAAAUCUACUUGAUGUCGUGCAUAGCAUUAGGAGAAAUAUGAGAGCUGAAAAGAAUAGCAGAUUUAGAGCCUGUUUGGGACUGCUCUGCUCCAAAAAAAACAAGCCAAACGGGGUAGCUCCACGAUAUGCUGCUCCACAAAAAAACUAGAAUUUGGGGUACAACUUCAAAGUUUUUAUGAAGCUCCUCAGCGUGUGCUUCAAAAAAGACUAGAAGCUGGAGUUGGGGGAAAAUUACCCACCACUGCCACCAGUAAGUGGAUACCCCUUCAUUUCUUUCACCUCAACCAAUCAAAUAGAUUCUUUUCACCAAAUUUUCUAUUCUUGAAGCUGGAGCUAGAUGGAAGCCAAACAUUCUUUUGAUAGUGCUAUAGCUUUUGUAUGAAACUGCUCCAAAGUGAAUUUGAUGAAGUGAAGCUGAUUUUGGUGAAUUGAAGCAGUCCCAAACAGACCCUUAGACCAGUUUGGAGUUUGACCAGAAAAAGCACAAAAUUGGUUUAAGAUUAGCCAUGGUGUGAGCUUCUUUCAAAGUGGCAUGUCCACAAACCAAUAAGUCAUCCGCAAAUAAAAGAGAGUGAAUGGAGGGACAAUUUGGUCUAAGAGAGAUACCCUGUAAAUGAUGAGUAGCAAGAGCUUCAUUAAGGGCAAUGUAGAGUUCAUUGAUAGCAAUAACAAAUAAAUAAGGAGACAUAGGACAACCUUGACGAAUACCCUUGGAACUUUUAAAUUUUUGAGAAGGCUGUCCAUUAAUGACAACAGAAAAUGUAGGCGAGGAGAUGCAUGCAUGAACUAAACUUAUAAAAUGACCAUGCAACCCUUUCCGAGAAAGAGGAGAAACAAUAAAACUCCAUUCAAGACGAUCAAAAGUUUUAGCAAGAUCUAUUUUAAGCAUGAAAGCGUUAUGCUUCCAUGAUUUCAAGGAGAAAGAGUGAGCAAUCUCUUGGGCAAUGAUGAUAUUAUCACUAAUUCUUCUACCCUCAAUGAAAGCUUGCUGAGAAGGAUCUAUAUAAUCAGGCAGGAGAGGUUUAAUCCUGUUAGCAAGCGAUUUUGCAAUAAUUUUAUAAACAACAUUACAAAGGCACAGAGAUGGCGACGCGAACACUACGUUCUACCAUCGCCAGUGUGCAUACCGCAAACAGAAGAACUGGAUACAUGGCAUCUCUGUCGACGGCGCCGUUAUCACUGAUCCUAACGACAUGGCCGCGGCCACUUUCGAGCACUUUGACAGCCGGAUUGGGACGGACAUGCAGCGUGACUGCACCAUUGGACUGUCGCAAUUCAUCGAGCCCUCAAACCUGGAAGACCUUGACGCGCCAUUCAGCGAGGACGAGAUUUGGCAAGCCAUCAAAAACAUGCCGUCCCGCAAGGCGCCCGGCCCCGACGGCUUCACCGCGGAGUUCCUCCGAUCCUGCCGGCAGAUCAUCAAGCAUGACCUCCGAUGCGUCUUCAACCAGAUUUACGCGCUGCGUGGACGAGGGUUUAGCUGCCUUAACCAGGCGCUAAUCACGCUCCUCCCCAAGCGCGUCGAGGCCACUGGCCUGGGUGAUUAUAGGCCCAUAAGCCUAAUUCACAUCGUCGCCAAGGUCCUGGCCAAGCUGCUUUCGCUCCGCCUAGCUCCCAGGCUCAACAACCUUGUCAGCAACGUCCAAAACGCGUUCAUGGUUGUCAGCAACGUCCAAAACGCGUUCAUCCCCAGGCGAAGUCUUCACGACAACUUCAUCCUAGUGCGUCAAUCCGCACGGCUAUUGCAUCAGCUGGGUGCCCCUCGCGUGCUUCUGAAACUUGACUUGGCACGGGCUUUCGACUCCGUCUCGUGGCCUUUCCUGUUCGAGGUGCUGCGAUGCCAUGGCUUCGGCAACCGCUUCCUUGGUUGGAUCGCCCUUCUCCUGUCGUCGGCCAACACCAAGGUUCUCCUCAACGGCAACCCUGGACCAGCGAUUUGGCACCGCCAUGGACUGCGCCAAGGUGAUCCAGUCUCCCCGCAGCUCUUCGUCCUUGCUGUCGAUACGUUGGGCAGGCUCUUUCAUCGCGCGGUCAAGCUCCGAGUCAUGCAGCAGCUGCAUCCGCGCCGCGCCAUCCCCACCAUAUCCCUCUACGCCGACGACGUAAUUCUUCUGUGCCACCCCUCGCCGGACGAUAUCGCGGCGGUGAAGGAGAUUCUGCAGCUCUUUGGACGCGCCUCUGGCCUGCACGUGAACUUCCAGAAGAGCGCUGCGGCCCUCAUCCGCUGCGACACCGUGGACGCUGCUCAUGUUGUUGCGCACCUGGGCUGCCCCAUCGUCGAAUUCCCGCUUACUUACUUGGGCAUCCCGCUCACGCUGCGUCGCCCCACGGCUGCCCAACUGCAACCCGUCGUCGAUAAGGUCGCUGGGAAGCUGCCCUCUCGGAAGGCCUGGCUCAUGAACAAAGCCGGCCGCCUUGCUUUCGCCAAGGCUGUCUUGAGCGCGAUCCCCAUUCAUCAGCUCCUUGUGCUUGCGCCGCCAAAGAAGACCAUCAAACUCUUGGAGAAGAUUGAGAGAGGAUUCCUUUGGGCUGGCCGCACCGAGGCCCACGGAGGCAAUUGUCAUGUCAACUGGCGGCGCGUCUGCCGGCCUAUCCAGUUUGGGGGCCUCGGCGUUCACGACCUCGAGCGCACUGGCCUCGCCCUUCGCAUGCGGUGGCAGUGGCUCAGCCUAGUCGAUGAUGGCAGGGCCUGGAGCGGCCUUGACCUGCACUUCGCGCCCGAGGAGCGCGCGCUCUUCUUCGCCUCUACUAUCAUGGCUAUCGGCAAUGGCCAGCGCGCCCUGUUCUGGGAGGACCGAUGGAUCAACGGACGUGCGAUCCGAGAGAUCGCGCCUCUCCUUUUUGAUCUCAUCCCCAAACGGCGUCGCAAGUCAAGAACUGUUGCGGACGGCCUUCACGCGAACCAAUGGGCCGCAGACAUUCACGACAUGAUUGGCAUCCCGGAGAUUGGAGAAUACCUGCGCCUCUGGCACAUGCUCGCCGAAACAGCCCUCACUGACGCACCAGACCACAUUCGCUGGAAGUGGACCGCGAACGGCGAGUACUCCGCCAAGUCCGCAUACCUUGCCACUUUUCAGGGCUCCGCGAGAUGCCAAGCUUGGAAACUUACCUGGAAGUGUUCGGCACCGCCUCGGGUGCGCUUCUUCCACUGGCUUGCCAACCUCGAUCGGUGCUGGACGGCCGACCGCCUCGCGAGGCGCAACCUGCCGCACCCACAGCGCUGCCCUCUUUGCGAUCAGGCUCCGGAGACGAUUCAUCAUCUUCUCCUGGAAUGCCCUUUCAGCUGCGAAGUGUGGCACGAGAUCCUCUCAUGGCUGCGCCUCUCUUGCCCGCUGCCCAACAACGAUGCCACUCUCCACGACUGGUGGUGCUCUGCAUGACACGACACCCCUAAGCCUAUGCACAAGGGAUUGGCUUCCGCUGCAUUGCUCGUCCCUUGGAUGAUUUGGAAGCAUCGCAACGGAUGCGUGUUUGAGGGUGCAACACCGUCGGUUACCUCCCUGGCGGCUACGAUUGAGGAAGAGGCCGCCCUCUGGGCCAGAGCGGGCGCCUUGGGGCUCCGGGCCAUCUUGCCACAAACAUGGGAUGUCCACUAGUGUGCAUGUACUCACCUUGUAAAUAUGCCUCCUAGGAGGAUUGUACUAUAACCCUUCUUUUCAAUACAAUGAACCACAAAAGUCUUUUGCGUUUUCUCGAAAAAAAACAUUACAAAGGCUGGUAGGGCGGUAAUCCAUAGGGACUUGAGAAACCAACUUCUUAGGAAUAAGAGCAAUGUUAGUAUCAUUAACGUGAGGAGGCAGAACACCAAUAAGAUAAAAUUUGAUAACAAGUUGGGUAACCUCAUCUCCUAUCCAAUCCCAAGCAGCCAGGUAAAAUUCAACAUUGAAUCUAUCCGGCCCUGGAGAAGCAUUUAACUUCAUAUCUUUAAGAAUUUGCAAAACCUCAUGUUUAUCUGGAAGAGCGUAGGUUGGGUCCGAAGGAUCAUUCGGCCACUGGGUGGACGCAUAAGGUCUAUCGAUAAAACGAAAAUAAUUGACAAACCUGUUGGUGAUAGCAAACGGUUUGAAAUGAAGCAUUUUAGUCUCAUCUUUGAUAGAGCAAAUAGUAUUACGCUUUCUACGCGUAACAACAGCUUGGUGAAAAAACUUAGUAUUGCGAUCACCAGCCCGAGCCCAAUUCUUCUUACUACGUUGUUUAUAAAACUGAUUCAGCUUAGAGAGUCUGUUCAUACCUGACAGUGAGAGCAGCCUCCAAUGCAUGGUCCUGCUGUUGUGAUGGGAGUUGUUGUAGCUGAUUAAUCUUCCCUUUUAGCUCCAAAAGUUCCGAUUGUAGACUUUUUUUUCGUGCACCACACUUUGAGAGAACCUGCCAAAGAAGAAGUCUUGGCUGCAAAAGAGGUUAGAGAACAAUUGUUCCAAGCCGAUUUAGCAAAAUUGGCAAAGUCCUUUUCCAUCAACCACCAAUUUUCAAUUUUGAAAGCUUGCUUAGGCUUAACAAAAUUUCCCUCUGUAGACACUAAAAUGGAAGUAUGAUCACUGAGAAUAAUAGGCAAAUUGAGGAUUUUAGUAUUAGGGUAACACAUGCACUACUAGGCAUUAACCAAAGAACGAUCAAGACGACGGUAAAUAGGUUUAUAAGUGUGUUGGUUACCUCGCCAAGUGUACGCCGGACCACUAAAACCUAUGUCAAAAAAACACAAUUUUUAACAAUGGACCGAAAAGCUUUCAUAUACGAAAGUAAUUCACAUUACCAUUACAACCAUCCGUAUCAUACAAGAUGUCAUUAAGAUCACCCAUACACAUCAUGGGCAUACCUAGAUUAUCAUACACAAAAGAGGAGAUCUGACUCCAAAUGGACUAGUUUGCCUAUGGUACGGGUCACCGUAAAUACAAAUCAAACAAAAUUGGACCCCAGAAGCAGGAUGAACUACAUUAGCUAAUAUAUAGCGGAAGGUAGCACUAUGAACAGUAAUAUUUAGAUCAUCAGUCCACAUAAGCCAGAGACCUCCCGAAGCACCUCUAGAGGGAACUACAAAGGCAUUAAUAACAUCAAACCUAUUAACAAGAUCAACAAAACGAACUUCGGAAGAAUUGAUUUCUGAGACAAAAGUUACAUGCACUUUAGUAGAACGGAUCAAGUUGGCCAAGAAGAGCAUACAAUCAUUGCCGAGGCUCCGGCCCAUACCUCAGCAAUUCCAAGCAAUGGCCCUCAUGGCGCCAGAGGAGCGUUCGGGCCAUGCGCUGUUGCCCGAUUGACGUCCGUAGUUUCUCCUAGUAGAACUUGCGUGAGAUGCAGAGUAUUAAGAGCACUAGUAGCUUUAUACUCACCUUGAACCUGAACGUCAUCUGAUAGUGAGAUGCCACCGGUGCGAGGAGCUUCUACACCAAGAGAAGUCAAGAAGAAAACAGAUGGCAGCAUUGUGCCACAAAAGAGGAAGGGUGCAACUACUCGAACAAGGAGAAAAGCAGGGUAAGGGGACAACAAUCGGAGAGAUGAUAUGGAGGAGGGGGGAGGAGAAACCGGCUCCGGCCAGGAGGGCCAGCGACAGCCUGAAUCAGGCUGGAACUAGCAGGUGUGGACGGGAUCUAGGAGGGAUGAGACCGAGAGAGAAUAGGCAGCAGAGAGAGAGAGAGGAUAGAGAGGAUUAGGCGAGAAAGAAAGGGACACCUAGGCAGGAGGAGGCAGCGAAGAACCCGACCGGCAGAAUCGAUGGAGCCCAAGACUCACCAGCAAAAUAAAAUGAGAGAAGGGGAUCUGGAAGGGGAAGACAGGAAGAGGAAGAGAGGAGCAGCAGAAGAGAACGAGCGAGGAGGGAUUAGAGCAUCUCCAACACCCGCGCUAACAGCAUCUCCAACACCCGCGCUAUACAAGCGCCGCGCCGUAAAAAAGGCAGUUUUAGCGCGCGCGCGACGCGGCGGGCAGCUCCAGCGAACGCGCAAAAACGGCGCGCGCGCCAUUUUCAAUUCAGCGCGCUGGCCGAAACGCAAUCCCGCGCCCGUUAUUUGCUGCGCCGGCUCGCGCG
This 8805-nucleotide long non-coding RNA is filed under the name Hordeum vulgare. RNAcentral describes it as "long non-coding RNA (HVUL_LNC007253)". The record is from RNAcentral. Lineage: Eukaryota; Viridiplantae; Streptophyta; Magnoliopsida; Poales; Poaceae.